UACGGGGGGAGCAAGCGUUGUUCGGAUUUACUGGGCGUAAAGGGCGCGUAGGCGGUCAGCACAAGUCAGUUGUGAAAUCUCCGGGCUUAACUCGGAAAGGUCAACUGAUACUGUGCGACUAGAGUGCGGAAGGGGCAACUGGAAUUCUCGGUGUAGCGGUGAAAUGCGUAGAUAUCAAGAGGAACACCUGCGGCGAAGGCGGGUUGCUGGGCCGACACUGACGCUGAGGCGCGAAAGUGUGGGGAUCAAACAGG
This 254-nucleotide ribosomal RNA is filed under the name uncultured bacterium. RNAcentral describes it as "partial 16S ribosomal RNA". It matches the Rfam family "Bacterial small subunit ribosomal RNA", at positions 524 to 776 of the family's 1533-position model. The record is from RNAcentral.